RNAcentral lists this ribosomal RNA (253 nucleotides) under uncultured bacterium. RNAcentral's name for it is "partial 16S ribosomal RNA". It matches the Rfam family "Bacterial small subunit ribosomal RNA", at positions 524 to 776 of the family's 1533-position model. The record is from RNAcentral.
UACGUAGGGGGCAAGCGUUGUCCGGAAUCAUUGGGCGUAAAGAGCGCGUAGGCGGCCCUGUAAGUCCGCUGUGAAAGUCCAGGGCUCAACCCUGGAAUGCCGGUGGAAACUGUCGAGCUAGAGUCCGGAAGAGGCGAGUGGAAUUCCUGGUGUAGCGGUGAAAUGCGCAGAUAUCAGGAGGAACACCAAUGGCGAAGGCAGCUCGCUGGGACGGUACUGACGCUGAGACGCGAAAGCGUGGGGAGCAAACAGG